AUUGAACGCUGGCGGCAGGCCUAACACAUGCAAGUCGAGCGGAUGAAGGGAGCUUGCUCCUGGAUUCAGCGGCGGACGGGUAAGUAAUGCCUAGGAAUCUGCCUGGUAGUGGGGGAUAACGUCCGGAAACGGGCGCUAAUACCGCAUCCGUCCUGAGGGAGAAAGUGGGGGAUCUUCGGACCUCACGCUAUCAGAUGAGCCUACGUCGGAUUAGCUAGUUGGUGGGGUAAAGGCCUACCAAGGCGACGAUCCGUAACUCGUCUGAGAGGAUGAUCAGUCACGCUGGAAGUGGGACACGGUCCAGACUCCUACGGGAGGCCGCAGUGGGGAAUAUUGGACAGUGGGCGAAAGCCUGAUCCAGCCAUGCCGCGUGUGUGAAGAAGGUCUUCGGAUUGUGAAGCACUUUAAGUUGGGAGGAAGGGCAGUAAGUUAAUACCUUGCUGUUUUGACGGUACCAGCAGAAUAAGCACCGGCUAACUUCGUG
Molecule: ribosomal RNA, 484 nt
Filed under: uncultured bacterium
Lineage: Bacteria
Description: partial 16S ribosomal RNA
Rfam family: Bacterial small subunit ribosomal RNA
Source: RNAcentral